ACCUGAAAAGCUGUCAGUCGCGUCCCAGUCACUCCGGGGACGUCUCCGCUUCAACGGGAGACGUCUCGGCUACAAGAUUUUACUUUUUCCGUUGUCUGGGGUCGACUCAACACUUUCAGGGGACGUCUCGGCUUGUUUGCACUUUUUGAAUGGGGACGACUCCGCUGAUCUGGGGACGACUCGGCUUCUUUAUCUCCGAAGAACAUGUCCUCUGGUAUUUCCUGAGAGAGUCGACUCCGCUCCUUCAGGGGACGUCUCGGGUUGUCUGCACUUUAUGCUUGCGGGGACGACUCGGCUUACUGUGGGGACGUCUCGCGCAUAUCUCUUGAAAACUGCCUUUCUGCCGCCACUGAGAGAGUCGACUCCGCUACUGAGAGAGUCGACUCCGCUAACGCGGGGACGACUCGGCAGGUGUCGGGGACGUCUCCAAGUGUGCCGGUUCUUCCUGUUUGUGCCAGAGACGUCUCUGAAACUAUCCGGAGACGUCUCGGCUGUCCCUGAUCUGUUUUCUUUAACUCAAAAUAUUCUUCAAUAAAUUCAUAAAAAUUAUGGGAACUUGCCUAGACAUUUCUUAACAAUAUUCUCAAUUAAUCACAU
Molecule: long non-coding RNA, 597 nt
Filed under: Phoenix dactylifera (date palm)
Lineage: Eukaryota; Viridiplantae; Streptophyta; Magnoliopsida; Arecales; Arecaceae
Description: long non-coding RNA (PDAC_LNC010138)
Source: RNAcentral